Molecule: ribosomal RNA, 380 nt
Filed under: uncultured eukaryote
Lineage: Eukaryota
Description: partial 18S ribosomal RNA
Rfam family: Eukaryotic small subunit ribosomal RNA
Source: RNAcentral
CAAUAGCGUAUAUUAAAGUUGUUGCAGUUAAAAAGCUCGUAGUUGGAUUUGUGGUGUACUUUGGCGGCCCGUCACACUGUGAUGGAGCUUGCUGAAGUCGCCAUCCUUGGGUGGAUCCUGUGUGGCAUUAAGUUGUCGUGCAGGGGAUGCCCAUCGUUUACUGUGAAAAAAUUAGAGUGUUCAAAGCAGGCUUAUGCCGUUGAAUAUAUUAGCAUGGAAUAAUGGAAUAGGACCUGGUUACUAUUUUGUUGGUUUGCAUAGCUAGGUAAUGAUUAACAGGGACAGUUGGGGGUAUUCGUAUUUAAUUGUCAGAGGUGAAAUUCUUGGAUUUAUGAAAGACGAACGACUGCGAAAGCAUUUACCAAGGAUGUUUUCAUUAA